UUGCCCUACGGAAUGCUCAGGUCCGCCGCAUCUCCUGGGUCCGUGGGGUUUGGCCGGCCGGGUCGUGCGCGAGAGGCCUCCUUUCGCACGUUACCCGGUCGGCCUUCCU
This 109-nucleotide small RNA is filed under the name Blastochloris viridis. Its description in RNAcentral is "EcpR1". It matches the Rfam family "EcpR1". From Rfam's summary of the family: Perviously named SmelC291, SmrC10, or Sra33. According to its overproduction phenotype it was renamed Elongated Cell Phenotype RNA1. The record is from Rfam by way of RNAcentral. Lineage: Bacteria; Pseudomonadati; Pseudomonadota; Alphaproteobacteria; Hyphomicrobiales; Blastochloridaceae.